Molecule: ribosomal RNA, 118 nt
Filed under: Pteropus alecto (black flying fox)
Lineage: Eukaryota; Metazoa; Chordata; Mammalia; Chiroptera; Pteropodidae
Source: RNAcentral
GUCUAUGGCUAUGCCACCCUGAACAAGCCCAAUCCCGUCUGAUCUCGGAAACUAAGCAGGGUCUGGCCUGGUUAGUACUUGAUGGGAGACCAUCUAGGAAGACCAGGUGCUUUAGGCA